This 497-nucleotide ribosomal RNA is filed under the name uncultured bacterium. Its description in RNAcentral is "partial 16S ribosomal RNA". It matches the Rfam family "Bacterial small subunit ribosomal RNA", at positions 28 to 507 of the family's 1533-position model. The record is from RNAcentral.
GAUGAACGCUGGCGGCGUGCCUAAUACAUGCAAGUCGAGCGAACAGACGAGGAGCUUGCUCCUCUGACGUUAGCGGCGGACGGGUGAGUAACACGUGGAUAACCUACCUAUAAGACUGGGAUAACUUCGGGAAACCGGAGCUAAUACCGGAUAACAUGUUGAACCGCAUGGUUCAACAGUGAAAGACGGUCUUGCUGUCACUUAUAGAUGGAUCCGCGCCGCAUUAGCUAGUUGGUAAGGUAACGGCUUACCAAGGCAACGAUGCGUAGCCGACCUGAGAGGGUGAUCGGCCACACUGGAACUGAGACACGGUCCAGACUCCUACGGGAGGCAGCAGUAGGGAAUCUGCCGCAAUGGGCGAAAGCCUGACGGAGCAACGCCGCGUGAGUGAAGAAGGUCUUCGGAUCGUAAAACUCUGUUAUUAGGGAAGAACAAAUGUGUAAGUAACUAUGCACAUCUUGACGGUACCUAAUCAGAAAGCCACGGCUAACUACGUG